GACGAACGCUGGCGGCGUGCUUAACACAUGCAAGUCGAACGGGUCUGCCCUGUUUUUUGCGGGGUGGGUCAGUGGCGAACGGGUGAGUAACACGUGAGUAACCUGCCCCUCACUUCUGGAUAACCGCUUGAAAGGGUGGCUAAUACGGGGUGUUCUGGCUGUGCCGCAUGGUGUGGCUGGGAAAGAUUCACUUUUGUGGUGUUUUGGUGGGGGAUGGGCUCGCGGCCUAUCAGCUUGUUGGUGGGGUGAUGGCCUGCCAAGGCUUUGACGGGUAGCCGGCCGGGGAGGGUGGGCGGUCACACUGGGACUGAGAUACGGCCCAGACUCCUGCGGGAGGCAGCAGUGGGGGGUAUUGCACAGUGGGCGGAAGCCUGAUGCAGCGACGUCGCGUGAGGGAUGGAGGCCUUCGGGUUGUGAACCUCUUUCGCCGGUGAAGAAGGUCCUGCUCUUUGUGGUGGGGUUGACGGUAGCCGGGUUAUGAAGCGCCGGCUAACUACGUG
RNAcentral lists this ribosomal RNA (500 nucleotides) under uncultured bacterium. RNAcentral describes it as "partial 16S ribosomal RNA". It matches the Rfam family "Bacterial small subunit ribosomal RNA", at positions 28 to 507 of the family's 1533-position model. The record is from RNAcentral.